GACACUUUGGCCGAGUGGUCAAGGCGUAUCCCUGCUAUCAGCACGACAAGGAUAUCCCAGAAAUGGGGCGUGAGUUCGAAUCUCACAGGUGUCG
RNAcentral lists this transfer RNA (94 nucleotides) under Pseudozyma flocculosa. It matches the Rfam family "tRNA". From Rfam's summary of the family: Transfer RNA (tRNA) molecules are approximately 80 nucleotides in length. The record is from Rfam by way of RNAcentral. RNAcentral also lists the same sequence under 1 other name. Lineage: Eukaryota; Fungi; Basidiomycota; Ustilaginomycetes; Ustilaginales; Ustilaginaceae.